Molecule: non-coding RNA, 9730 nt
Organism: Anas platyrhynchos (mallard)
Lineage: Eukaryota; Metazoa; Chordata; Aves; Anseriformes; Anatidae
Source: RefSeq, a predicted model, not a curated record
UUUAUUUUUCCCUUCUUUUCCUUUUUUUUUUUCUUUACUUUCCUUUUAUGGGGUCAAUUAGGAAAUUAGCCAAAAAAUAAAAAUGCCUUUCUUCAACUCCUCUGUUUUGGUAACAGUAAGAAAAUACCCAAAUAACUUUGUGAUAAAAAUAAUUGUGUAAUAUUCCCUAAUUUUUCAAGGAAUUAACAGGGUUCACUACACUGUAACUCUGUGCGCUCAAAGUUCGAAAGGCUUGUUUAUGUAUUGUGUACAGGGUUGUUUUGUAAAACUGUGAUUUAAGACAAGAAGCACUUACGACUUUUGCUUCUGUGUUCUUUGGAGCAUUUGCUUUUGUAGCAGGGAAAAUAAUUCUUGACUCAGUCAAGAAUAGCAACACUUAACUCUGAUCCUAUCAUACCUAAGGUUUCAAAAUUGGGUGAAACAAACAGGUAUUGAGCAAAACACGUGUGCACACAUUUUAUUUUUAUCCAGAAUUUCCAUCAGGAAUUGCCAUAGACUUCGAAAGCUAUUGAUUUGUAAGGCCACAUUUUCUCUUAAGCUACCGAAAAUUCUCUAGUUCUCCUCCUUAUAUUCUCUCAUUUGAGGAAAACAAAACAAACAACAACAACAAAACAUCUCUUUCCCUUUUGCCUUAUUUCCAGACUCUUCAAUCAAUUCUUCUCCACAGAAUAAGAUCUCCUCCAUAUCCCUUGGUGGAUAAUAGGAUUUUAAUGAAGUUCAGUGAUUGAGCAGGCUAGUUAGCAGUGGUUCAUCCUUGUGAAAUGCCUUUCCAAAGGACACUGCUGGUGCCCAGCCUUCUGACAUAACAUGGCAUGACCUUUUCAUUUUAUUUUAGGCUAUUUUUUUGUUGUUGUUGUUACUAUGUUUUUACAGUACACUGGGGUAGUUUUCAUAGUUAGAAGAACAGAGGGAGCUGUAAGAAGGAGCUGUAUCUACUACGCAUUGCAAUGGAAGAGAGGGUGCUUAUCCCGUCCCUCCCAAAUCCCCAACAGCACUGUAGCUGUUUCCAGCUGUGUGCUUCUGCAAUUGCAGUGGAAUAUUGUGUUUGAUUACUCGUAUCUGCUUGAAAGGAAAUAGAGACUGGUAUUUUAUAAUUAAAAAUGCUUAUUCUUUUUUCUUUAAAAGAUGCAGUUGUUGUCUACGUGCUUAAACUUUUAUUAGAUUAUAGUACAAUAAAUUCAAAUGUAUUCAAAUAAUUAUCAAAAGGAAAUCUAAUUUUAUCAAAAUGUUUAAUACAAGGUUGAAACAGGUUCAGUCUGUUCCCCCUUCAUGUGGCUGGUCCUUCCCACCAGUACCGUUUUUCUCUGCAGUGUAUUUUAGAAGUUCUAAUUUGUAACCAAAAGAAAAGGUUUUUAGUAUCACCCCCCCCCCCAUUACAAUUGCAAAGAAUUGAAAUUACAAACAUGGACCAACCCUGGCAAUAAAAUACUGCCCUAAAUUGUCUAGGUUACAGAUUGCAAAUUCUUCCAUGGAAAGCACAGAGAAAUUAACAGGCUCAUGCAAGUUGCUCAUCAUGUUGAAGAAAAUGCAGCUUCCUAGUAUUUAGUUCUUGUCAGUAGUGCACUUAGUUUCUAACCUGUUAAACCUCUAGGUAUCUUCUAUCACCUUCUCAAUUUCACUGGCCGCUGGUGUCAUGUUAGUUCAGCUUUAUAGGAUGAGCUGUGUGGAAGAAAAAUGACUGUGAAAAGGAUAGCGUGGUUUUGUGCAUGUCCUGCUGCUCUUUCUAGGCCAGAGGUGACCAGAGCCAACCUUAGUUACAUGACGUGCUCUGCUAAUUGAUACUGCUGCACUCCAUGGUUUAUCUUGUGUUAUUGUGGAAGCCUAAUCCUAUGGUGACAAAUUGCUGGGUGACGUUCUUCUUAUCCCUAGUUUGUCCCUACCAUCUUUGGGAAGAGAGCUGCAGCCACAGGAAGACCAGCAUUCCUUGCUGUAAAAACUGAGGGAAAACUAAAUAGUGAAGCAUCCAAGACUUGAAGUGCAGUGCAACACUUCUCUUAUAACAUGGGCAACUUUUCAGAGCUGUGUGAGUUACAUCAAGGACCAUUUCAUGGCUUAUACCAUUUUUUGAUGAGCUACUGCAUCCAUGACCUCCUCUCUGGAGGCAGCUCAUGACAAAGGAAAGAUAAAACAAAAUGACCCCAAGGCAUCUUUUCUAUUUUUUCCUUAAUCUGCAUGUUGUGGGAUGGAUCUCAAAAGUGCAACGUAACAUCCUUCUCAUGAUCUAAAGUUGAACAAAAUAACCGUGCACAUCAUUGUACUUGAAUGCAAGGCCUAUUAACAAGAAUUUCUGCACUAGAAUUAGUAUGAAAAAAUGGAGGUGGGCAUGGGGACGCUAGCUGACCACACGGAGAGAUGCAAUGAGCCUUAAGAAAAGCAGAUAUCUGAAGAUGAAACAGUGGGUAUAAAUGUGGCCAAGAGACAGUUGAAGAGGUGGUAUUUUAUCCCAGUGUUCCACGCUCAUGAUACAAGAUCUCACCAGGGCUUUGGAUGAAAUAGAGACCAAAAAAAAAGGAGGAAAAAAAAAAGCCCAAUCAUCACCACACCCCAAAUUCUUCUGAGGCUCUGAAAGGCUAAGUUUUAGUCCAGAGCAUGAUCAGCUUAGUAAAAAGAUGAUAUGACAAUAUUUCUUGUGAUUUCUUGUGAUCCCUGGAGUGGGACCUAGUGUAAGGCUGGUAAGUCUGGGCAUUGGAUGAACCAAAGAUGAUAAGAAAUGGUUUUAAAGGGGGGAAACAUACCCUUAAUAUUGCUUACAAAAUAUGCUUUCGAUACACUUACCUCUCUUGACAAUUAGCAACUGUCCACCUUGUAGGAGAGAUUGGAUCAAGUGAGGAGUAGCAGAAAAGAGCCUGUGGAUAUCUUCGUGUACCACUCUGCAUGGAUUUUUGCAUUAAAUAUUAGCACAUAAGUAAGGUUGAAACAGAUGUCCCAUUAAUCUAAAUAACACCUAUUGCUAUGUUAGGUUGUUAUCUGGAGACAUUUAAUUUCAUGACCUGAUAUUACCCAUCCUCCAAUUAUUAAAUUCCUGACGGUAUUAAAAAUAUGUCUACACUGGCAACAAUGAUCUGUAAUUAUCAUUAUUUCUUGAUUUUACUGUGAGGUCAUGCACUGUUGGCUCUGAUAGCUUCAUGUCAUGCACUGCUGUAACACGGGUCAAUUAGGUCAAAAGAAGUAGACACUUUAGCCCUACGCCUCUAAAUGUUUUCACACUGCAAAUUACAUGACUGUAAGUUAAUAGAAGACUUCAGGCAUCCACAUGUUCACAGCUAAUCCUGAACAUGAGUAAAUCUCAUAGAAGGAACUGGAUUAACUAGACUGUCGUUUUUUUUUUUUUCCAUGUGGGAUAAGGAUUACAGAUCACAAAAUCCAGAAACACAGCUGUGUAAUGUGAUCUAAUUCGUUGUAGUUGCCUCGACCUUGGAGAUGAGAGGGUGAAGGUAGCUGAAGACUGCAACAAUUUAUUGGCAGAUUUAAUAGCGUAUCAAUCGCUUGAAGUCAAAUAAGGGAUCUUGAUUUUUAAAUCUGGGAGACUACUGUGAAAGUUUGUCCUCAAAAUGGAGAGUGUGUGGGGGAACUAGCUCAUUCCUACAGCAGAUUCUAGGUUUUACUGCUGCAUAGUAUACAUUCUGCCUACAUUGUUGUAUAGUGUAUAUCCUGUCUAUUUGUAAUGUACUAACGCUCUUUUCCAGCUUGUCAUCUUCAUUUGAUUGAACAAAAUUGGUCUGUUUUCAUUUAAAAUAUGUCAAGUCAACAAUACAAACAGACACAGCAUUUCUUUUGUUCCUUUAUAAAGAAGCACUCUAAGUAGCUGAUCAAAGGGGCUACAGAUUCUUUUGGUGAGCUUCUGGUAAACCAAGCUGUCAUUUCUAUGAAUGGUAUUUUGUAUGACUUUGGUUUUAGGUUUUUGUGUAGCAAAAUUCCAUCAGUGAAUGAUUCUCUGCAUUUCUCUUUCCUCUGCUAUUUAAUGUUGAUUUUAUGAAAUUGUGUUUAUUAAAUAUUUCAGUGAUGUUUUAACUGUAGCUUAAAAAUGUGUUUUGCCAGGCCAUUUGUUGAAGCAUCACCUGAAAACACCUUUUAAUUAGGAUCUUAUGCCUUUAGCAGGGCAGGUAGCGAGUCUUAAGGCACAGUUCAGACAAUAUAGUGGAACUCUACUCACUUUCCAGUUAAAUUGAUACGCUUGUACAAUUUGUACAAUGGCUAUAAAUCAAUACGCUUUUGACAUCUUGAGAAAACAGACAAUAGAAGGAUUUUCUGUGUUGCAACCAUUACAGUCAGUCUGCAGUAAGUCGUUUAAUAAUUCCAGCUUUGUGUAUCUGAAGGAGAAUGCGAGUGACCUUUCCUUCACCCUACAAAUGUUGCUAGCUCCCAGAUACGGAAGUUUGUGUUUCUAGAUUGAAGCCUUUCACAAAUUGCUGCUAACAGCUGUGUGUUUAACAAGGAGAGGUGUUUUGUCAUCAGGAGUAAUUUCACUAUUAAUUUUGUGGGCCAUUUAACAGAUUUUGCACAUCUUAGGUAAAUUUCAGUUCAAGGUUAGUGUACUGGAAAUGGGCAUUGUAAAGAGUGAGAGGUACUCCUGUAACCCUUUGUUGGCCUCUAGGUUCUUUGUUGUAUUUUAGUUAACAGUGCAAUGUGGACAGACUUCUGAUGCUACUGCUAGAUCAGGUAAUGUCUUUUUCUAGUCAAGUCUUGAAAUCCUUCCCAGGAGAGAGAGAGAUUGAGCCUGGUGAUCCAGCUAAUUUUCAGCACGCUGACAGCCUGCUUGCCUGUCUCAUACUAACUCGACUUCCAAAUGAUAAUGCUGUGGGAGUCAGUGUUAAAAGAACCAGUCAAAAUCUAAUUCUUUAGUUCAAACAUUGGGUUGCUUUAUCCAGGGGGACCACAUUCAUUCCUACAAGCAUCCUGAUACCUUGUUUUUCACUGUUGUCAUUCAAAGGCUGUGUAUUAUCCCCUGGAGAAGUUUGCAAUACGUUGUCAAUGCAGCUGUUUACCCAGAGGAAUAUUUCAGUCUUUCACCCCUUCUAGCCAGUGUUUCAGGCUGUAAUGCAAAUUCGAAGUUUGAGACUUGGAGUCUUGCUGACACUUCAUGUGAAAGGGAAGGGAAAGGUGUGGAUGUGUGACAAAACGAGGGUAAAAGCCUUCAGGACACCUCUGGGUUGUGCUUAGUAGAAUGAACAAAUGUUGGGGAUGAUGCUUGUUUUACUGCUGCAUUCUUAUUCUUUAUAAUAAGCCUUCAGGAUUUAUAAGGCUGAAGUGUAGCAAGUUGCUCUUACUCUAAGCAUACUUCUAGGGUGUGGAAAAAAUGAAGAUCUUAUGUUUGUGUGUUCCCAGUAGGUCAGAGAUUGAUGUAUGAAGAAGUGUUUGUCCAGAAAGCUCGUUUCCUUCCCGGGCCCUGAGGAUACAGUUUCACAAUUGCCACGAGCUGAGCUAAGCCUGUGCUGCUCCAGAAGGAGCGACCGUUCCCUCCUUUGGGCUGUUAUCAGUGCUCAUGUGGUUAGUUGGAUCAGCAGGCUCAUCUCCAAGGAGAAAAAGAGCUGCGUCUCCAUUUUACAGAUGAAGCGGGUUCAGCAGAGGGAAGCAGAGCCAGACAAUAAAUCAACGGUAGAGCUGGAAGACAGGGUCUUGAUAACAUGACUCUUGUUGUUGACAUCUAAAAAGUAGGAUCAUGUGGCUCUUUUUUUUUUUUUCUUUUUUUUUUUUUUCCCCUCCUUCUGAGACCUGCAUUUUACAUUCGGUCACUUGGAGCAUGGUGUAAUCCCAUUGGUUAAAUGUGGGUUCAAACUGGUGUAACUUCAGCCUGGAAUCUGCUUAUGUGUCUUUCUUCUGUUUAUUGUGUUUUUCUGGGAAGCAGCACAUGCUGUGCACGUCAGGGAUGUGCCUCCCUGGAGAAGCAUAAGCUGGAGCAAUUUUGUGCAGCAGAUUUCUUUGAUAGCUGCCUUGCCCCAGUAAAUCAUUAUGUUUGAUUUCUUUUUUGCAAUGUUAAUUUUCCCUGCUCAGUUUAUACACGUCUCUAAAUGAGAAAUAAAAUAUCACAGGUAAAGCAGAGGAAUUAAUAGCAGAUGGGUUAGGCUUAGUUGUUGGCAAUUAGGGAUCUUGUGGAUGUCUAGAGUCUAUUGCUACAGAUGUUUGUUUUAAUGCCACCAAUUCUUCACUGUUGUGCUGGGGAUUUUUGGCUAUUUCUCUUCCAGAUAGCAGUGAAGAGUUGUUGUGGAGGGAGCAUCCUAGCCAAAGUUCCAGAUUCCUUAAUCCUAAGCAGAGAAGAGGGAUUUGUUUUAAUAAAAGAGCACUCUGUUCCUGGUUUCUGCAAAGGGAAUUUGAAGGACUGGCUGCUUUGGUGCCCUGAACAACCCCUUCCGUUGUGUGGGCUGCUCUCCAGUGCUAAUGCUAAUUCAUAAUGGAAAAUAAUGCUGAGAAUGAGAUGGUUGUUGAAGGAAUAAAGAGAGAAGGGUUCACCCUCCUCCUUCAUUCAGAGAGUUUCAGUGCUCCUUUGGGAGCCCUGUGAACAUGAGCAAGUUUUGCUGUUCAUCACCUUUCUGAGCAGGUUUCAGUAGAAGGUACUGAGAACCACCCGGGCACCAGGCUGCUCUCUGUGUGGAUUGGGACAAUUACCUGGAGUGUAAGCAACUGUGGCACACCUUAGUUCUACAAGGGUAGUUUCAGGAAGCACACAAUUACCAGUAUUAUUCUAAUUAUCGUGCUUUCCUUUUAAAAGAAGUUUUGGGCAAUUUCACUUUUUCCCUAUAAGACAGCAAUAAUUCUCUUUAAAACAACCAGAUGGUUUUCUCUUUAAACGCUGCAGAAAAUACACAAGCUCUAGGGUGGAUGGAAGCUAUGGGGAGAACUGGAAUUCUCUGUUUAUAAGUAACAUGUGAGGAGCCAAAUUAAUCAGGCAUGGUUUUAAUUCUCCUGUAUGAUUAUUCGUUCGUUCCAAAGACGUUUAAAUGACAAAUAGCACAUGAAAUUCAGCCGGUGGAUGGGAGAGAGGGCUGGAAGAGAAUUCUUUCCAAAGGUAUUUGUAAUCGUCUGAAAAAAAAACAGUAAUUUUUCUAGAAGGAGGAGGAGCUGCUAGGGGAAGCCCAUGGGAUAUGUGUCCGGGCCGAGGAGGCAGACUUGCCUGGUUGUAAACAUCGAGCUCAGAAGAAGCAAUCGCUCAGGUUCUCCCUGAAAAAAAUCGCAUAUUGGUAUUUUAAGAGUGCUGGAGCUGAUACAUGGGCUUUGGUUCAUUUCCCUGAGGAUCUGUGUAGGUUUCUUGUUGGACUCAGUUAAAGCUUAAACUCCAGCACAUUUCAUGCCGCUUAUUUGGCUCAGACGGAUUACAAAGAAGUAGAAUUAGGCGAAAGGAGCGUGACAGUCCUACAUGUCAGAGGGCUCAGCGUUGGCCGACACACUUAGAAAUUCUCAGAGAUUCUCAGCUGAUUUUUUGGAACCGAGGUCAUGCCGGCAUCGAACGCUUCGUGAUCCCACUUCUGUGGCUGCGGUUGAACUUUAUGUUUUGGAUGCUUCUCAAACAGCUGGCUUUUAUAUUACAGAACUGGAAUUGUGUGCUGUUAAUCUCUGACUAGGCAGGAUGCAGAUAGUAUCUUAACUGCUGAGUGUAAAAGCGAUUUGGUAGUGUCCCUUGGAAGUGACACUCAAUUAUCAACCUACUGGAGGCCUUAAGAUGCCUUGAGAUUCCCCUGGAACUCCUUCCUCACAGAUAUGCCAGCAUCUUCCUUGAAGGAUGCACAAUAACUGAAACAAACGGACCUGUAUUUUCCCAGCUAUGUUUGCACAGGAAACAAAUCUAGGCAAAAUAAGUAACACCUAUGCCUUGCUCCCUCCGUUUGAUUACAGCUCUGGAGUCUUUGAAGUCUGAAGACUUUCAAGUACCUGAGCUUUCUCCUCUGGAUUCCUCACUCACAGCUCAUUCCUGCAGGCAGUACCUUUAGUUCCUGCUCGUUCUCCUCUGAAGACAUGCUCUGGUGUGUUUCUGCUCCUAAGCUUCACGGCCUUUGUUUACAGCAGGCCAGCAGAAGCGACUGCUUUGGGUGAUUCCUCACCCCCCAGCCUCAUUUUUUCUCUUUGUUGAUCUGGAGGCAGCUGGUUUUAGUAGGUGCUGAAGAUACUCCCUUUCUUUUAUAUACACUGAAGAUACUACUUUGUUGUAAAGCAGAAUGUUCCCUGUUUUGGUAGUAUAUCAUUAUUAAUACUUCUAAUCCUAAUAUGAGGAUAUUCACAUACCACUUUUCCCCUUUUACAAACCUUUAAGCUUAAAGAUAACCUUGCCACUAUAAUUACAUUCUCUAUGAAGUACACAGACUAUUGAGGAAAGUCUAAUAUCCAUACUUUAUAAUAGUUAAAGACCUGUAAAGAUACCUUGAAUCCUGCGGGUCUGGAUCAACAGGUUUUCUCUAUGCCUUUGUCCUGCUCAUCCUUCGUUAUUAAAACAGGUUUUGCUCAUCUGUGAGGUCAAUUACAAAGGUUCUGGAGCUCACUCAGCCACCAGAUUGUGUUGUGAUGUACAGAGAUGUGUGAGGCAAGCAGGAUGACCUGUCAGUGGCCACUGAGGGCUUUGAUUUGCUGACUGAAAUGCCACUGCAAAUAGUUGAAUCAAAGCGCCAUUCUUGAGAAGGAAGCUUCAUUUCAUUCUGCUUACCUGCAGAAGUAGGGCACUGUCAUCUCAUGCCAUUUGUAAAUGCACAAACUUUGUGGACUUCGAUGGUAAAGAAUUUGCAUCUGGAAAAGCUGCAGUUGACAGUUAAGUCUUUUUAUCUGGUAGAGGCUUCUUCCCUACAUUUUUCACCCUUAUUCUAUUUACUACCAAGAUUAAAUUGCCAUUAAAGCAUUUGCAGUAUUAUUUCUAAAUUUCCAUCGAGAUGUAGUUGCAGAGGUAUCACAAAAGUGAGUACAAAUGGUUGCUAGGUAGGUUAGACUGUAGAUUCUUAGCUGUUACAGAGGGGCCGAACUCUUCAAUAAGCAGGGCCCUCCGUUCUUGUCGUACACAUUUUGAUGGGAGAUGAAAUCCAUAAACAGACAGUGAAGACUGAGAAAACUUGAAUAAUGCCCUGAUUUGCAGCUCGGGUUGUCUGAAGGAAAAUGCAAAGUGAAAAGGGGAAUUCUGUCUAGCGUGUCUGUAGCUCUGAAUCAGGAAAGUGUUAAUUCAGGAUACACAUGAACUGAGUGAUUUGGAUUCACACUAAAAUUCGGGGUGUUUUAGCUUCAGGAUCUAAGCUGGACAUCGUUAAUUGGGGAAGCUGUUGCGGCCUGAUGGCUGCAGUUAGCUGCAAGGAUCAGUGGGUGAAAUGUUAUCAUUUGCUGCCUUGAUCUGCUUUGACUUCUUUCCAGUGUCCUGCCAUGAAAUUGAAGGUUCAGUGGCUGAAAUACCAUCCCCAAGUAUGGCAGUGACAAGCACAUGAAUAUGGAAUACGUGGCUGAAGCAAUAGCUAGAAAGCCAUUUCUGAAACCAUCUCCCUACGCUGAUCAAUGUGAGCUGUUCUAAUUAGCCGAGCAGCUGGGUUUUAGCUGCUUCUUAACUACGUCCUCGCUUAUCCAGGCAGUGGGAAGUCACAGUUGCUCUGUUCAUUUAGUGAUGCAGAAGCAGACAUCUUCAGCAUAGUGAUGAGGAUUGAAUUGUAACUGGGCUUUAUUACUGCUUUGGGAUUGCUUGCUUUUGGGGCCAGGCUCUAGAGAGGUAAAGUGGUACCAGGGUGAGUCUGAUUUCCUAAAUCAGUAGUGCUGAGCACUUGAUUUCUUAGGU